AAAUGAGAUUCGGGGUGCCUGAAGGCUGAGAUUAAUACCCGCUGUACCUGAUCAACGUUAUGGUUGCGUAGGAAAAUCUAAAGAGACGGUA
RNAcentral lists this non-coding RNA (91 nucleotides) under Aerococcus christensenii. RNAcentral's name for it is "TPP sequence". It matches the Rfam family "TPP riboswitch aptamer (THI element)". Rfam says of the family: Vitamin B(1) in its active form thiamin pyrophosphate (TPP) is an essential coenzyme that is synthesised by coupling of pyrimidine and thiazole moieties in bacteria. The previously detected thiamin-regulatory element, thi box was extended, resulting in a new, highly conserved RNA secondary structure, the THI element, which is widely distributed in eubacteria and also occurs in some archaea. The record is from Rfam by way of RNAcentral. Lineage: Bacteria; Bacillati; Bacillota; Bacilli; Lactobacillales; Aerococcaceae.